GGAAACAAGAUGCUAAUACCGGAUAACAACAGAUGAUGCCUAUCAACUGUUUAAAAGAUGGUUCUGCUAUCACUCUUGGAUGGACCUGCGGUGCAUUAGCUAGUUGGUGGGGUAAANGCCUACCAAAGCGAAGAUCAGUAGCCGAGUUGAGAGACUGACCGGCCACAUUGGGACUGAGACACGGCCCAGACUCCUACGGGAGGCAGCAGGC
RNAcentral lists this ribosomal RNA (211 nucleotides) under uncultured Lactobacillus sp. RNAcentral's name for it is "partial 16S ribosomal RNA". It matches the Rfam family "Bacterial small subunit ribosomal RNA", at positions 152 to 354 of the family's 1533-position model. Lineage: Bacteria; Bacillati; Bacillota; Bacilli; Lactobacillales; Lactobacillaceae. The record is from RNAcentral.